Small nucleolar RNA from Rattus rattus (black rat), 133 nucleotides. RefSeq annotates it as small nucleolar RNA SNORA20. The transcript has a single exon. The record is from RefSeq and is a predicted model, not a curated record. NCBI's taxonomy places the organism in Eukaryota, Metazoa, Chordata, Mammalia, Rodentia, Muridae.
UUUCCCAUUAAUUUGCUGCUCUAGUCUGUCAGUGAUAGGAGCAGUUAUACGCAUGGGAUAAAACAAUAUUGGGCCAUUGUACGUGGAGAUGAAGUGUGUUUUUGUCUCUUGUAGACAAAUAGUCUAGACACUG